This 90-nucleotide transfer RNA is filed under the name Candidatus Falkowbacteria bacterium CG10_big_fil_rev_8_21_14_0_10_39_11. RNAcentral's name for it is "tRNA-Ser". It matches the Rfam family "tRNA". From Rfam's summary of the family: Transfer RNA (tRNA) molecules are approximately 80 nucleotides in length. Their secondary structure includes four short double-helical elements and three loops (D, anti-codon, and T loops). The record is from RNAcentral. Lineage: Bacteria; Candidatus Falkowiibacteriota.
GGAGAGGUGACAGAGCGGUCGAAUGUGCUAGUCUUGAAAACUAGAGUCCCUUAACGGGGACCGUGGGUUCGAAUCCCACCCUCUCCGCCA